CAAUAGCGUAUAUUAAAGUUGUUGCAGUUAAAAAGCUCGUAGUUGGAUUUCUGGUCGGAAGCUCCUGUCCUCUGAUGAGCGUACAAGUGCGUCCUACCAUCCUUCUGUUAACCUUUAAGGCUUUCGCGGCUUUCUAGGGGCUCAGAUAUUUUACCUUGAGAAAAUUAGAGUGUUUCAGGCAGGCUAGCGCCGGAAUACAUUAGCAUGGAAUAAUGGAAUAGGACUUUUGCCUCUUCUGUUGGUCAUGAGGCUCGAGUAAUGAUUAAUAGGGAUAGUUGGGGGCAUUAGUACUUAACUGUCAGAGGUGAAAUUCUCUGAUUUGUUAAAGACUAACUUAUGCGAAAGCAUUUGCCAAGGAUGUUUUCAUUAA
This 370-nucleotide ribosomal RNA is filed under the name uncultured eukaryote. Its description in RNAcentral is "partial 18S ribosomal RNA". It matches the Rfam family "Eukaryotic small subunit ribosomal RNA", at positions 592 to 976 of the family's 1831-position model. The record is from RNAcentral.